RNAcentral lists this long non-coding RNA (708 nucleotides) under Nicotiana benthamiana. RNAcentral describes it as "long non-coding RNA (NBEN_LNC037519)". Lineage: Eukaryota; Viridiplantae; Streptophyta; Magnoliopsida; Solanales; Solanaceae. The record is from RNAcentral.
UUGAUUUGGCUGGAAGUGAGCGGGCAUCUCAGUCAUUGUCAGCUGGUGCAAGACUGAAAGAAGGUUGUCACAUAAAUCGCAGCUUGCUGACCCUGGGCACUGUUAUUCGUAAGCUAAGGUCGUGUAAUGUCCUUGCACUGCUAAGCAAGUUUAACAUGGUUAUUAAGCAGCUCUACAAGAAGAGCUUUGCCUUCUGUGUUACAUUAUAUAAUCAGUUGCAUGAAAUGUAGCUAGCACCUCUUCUCAUUAUUGAUUUUUUUUUUUAAUUUUCAAUUCUGUUUUGUUAAUUCCUAUGGCCUGCAAAAUUUAAAAUGGAAGCCAGAUUUAAGCAUGACAUACCUCCUCUGAUUAAUGCCGAUACUUGUAACUAAUUCAAGUUGUUGUAUUACUUAAUGCAGCAAGGAUAGGACUGGUCACAUUCCUUUCCGAGAUUCAAAGCUAACCCGGAUAUUACAGCCAUCAUUGAGUGGCAACGGUAGAACUGCCAUCAUCUGCACAAUGAGUCCAUCACGAAGUCAUUUUGAGCAAUCAAGAAAUACUCUACUAUUUGCAAGUUGUGCUAAGGAAGUAACUACUAACGCCCAAGUGAAUGUAGCCAUGCCAGACAAAGCAUUGGUGAAGCAUUUACAGAGGGAGUUAGCAAGGUUGGAAAGUGAGUUAAGGUAUCCAAGGGCUUGUAUAUUCCCUUCAGAUUAUGAAGCGUUACUG